RNAcentral lists this transfer RNA (73 nucleotides) under Camelus bactrianus (Bactrian camel). It matches the Rfam family "tRNA". Rfam says of the family: Transfer RNA (tRNA) molecules are approximately 80 nucleotides in length. Their secondary structure includes four short double-helical elements and three loops (D, anti-codon, and T loops). Further hydrogen bonds mediate the characteristic L-shaped molecular structure. tRNAs have two regions of fundamental functional importance: the anti-codon, which is responsible for specific mRNA codon recognition, and the 3' end, to which the tRNAs corresponding amino acid is attached (by aminoacyl-tRNA synthetases). tRNAs cope with the degeneracy of the genetic code in two manners: having more than one tRNA (with a specific anti-codon) for a particular amino acid; and 'wobble' base-pairing, i.e. permitting non-standard base-pairing at the 3rd anti-codon position. The record is from Rfam by way of RNAcentral. Lineage: Eukaryota; Metazoa; Chordata; Mammalia; Artiodactyla; Camelidae. RNAcentral also lists the same sequence under 2 other names.
GAGGGCAUAGCUCAAGUGGUAGAGCACAUGCUUAGCAUGCAUAAAGUCCUGGGUUCAAUUCCCAGCAUCUCCA